Molecule: ribosomal RNA, 253 nt
Filed under: uncultured bacterium
Lineage: Bacteria
Description: partial 16S ribosomal RNA
Rfam family: Bacterial small subunit ribosomal RNA
Source: RNAcentral
UACCUAGGGUGCAAGCGUUGUCCGGAAUUAUUGGGCGUAAAGAGCUCGUAGGUGGCCUGUCGCGUCGGCUGUGAAAACUCGGGGCUCAACUCCGAGCUUGCAGUCGAUACGGGCAGGCUAGAGUUCGGCAGGGGAGACUGGAAUUCCUGGUGUAGCGGUGAAAUGCGCAGAUAUCAGGAGGAACACCGGUGGCGAAGGCGGGUCUCUGGGCCGAUACUGACACUGAGGAGCGAAAGCGUGGGGAGCGAACAGG